RNAcentral lists this ribosomal RNA (442 nucleotides) under uncultured Alphaproteobacteria bacterium. RNAcentral describes it as "bacterial SSU rRNA". It matches the Rfam family "Bacterial small subunit ribosomal RNA", at positions 338 to 796 of the family's 1533-position model. The record is from RNAcentral. Lineage: Bacteria; Pseudomonadati; Pseudomonadota; Alphaproteobacteria.
CCUACGGGAGGCAGCAGUGAGGAAUAUUGGACAAUGAGCGCAAGCUUGAUCCAGCAAUACUACGUGAGUGAAGAAGGUUAUGUCGAGUGUAAAGCUCUAUAUUUGAAGAGGAUGAUGACUGUAUUCAAAGAAAAAGUCCCGACUAACUUCGUGCCAGCAGUCGCGGUAAUACGAAGGGGACGGGCGUUACUCAGCAUGAUUGGGCGUAAAGGGUGAGUAGGCGGUUUUUUAAGUUAAGAUCAAAAUCCAAAAGCAUAACUUUUGAAAAGGUUUUAAUACUGUAAAGCUAGAGUAUAAAUAAGGAAAGUAGUAUUUUUAAUGUAAAGGUUAAAUUUUGAAAUAUUAAAAAGACUAUCAAUAGGCGAAGGCGACUUUCUGGUUUAUUCUGACGCUGAGGCACAAAAGCAUGGGGAGCAAACAGGAUUAGAUACCCCAGUAGUCC